Molecule: ribosomal RNA, 929 nt
Filed under: Advenella kashmirensis
Lineage: Bacteria; Pseudomonadati; Pseudomonadota; Betaproteobacteria; Burkholderiales; Alcaligenaceae
Description: bacterial SSU rRNA
Rfam family: Bacterial small subunit ribosomal RNA
Source: RNAcentral
GUAGCUUGCUACUUUUGCCGGCGAGUGGCGAACGGGUGAGUAAUGUAUCGGAACGUGCCCAGUAGCGGGGGAUAACUACGCGAAAGCGUGGCUAAUACCGCAUACGCCCUACGGGGGAAAGGGGGGGAUCUUAGGACCUCUCACUAUUGGAGCGGCCGAUAUCGGAUUAGCUAGUUGGUGGGGUAAAGGCCUACCAAGGCGACGAUCCGUAGCUGGUUUGAGAGGACGACCAGCCACACUGGGACUGAGACACGGCCCAGACUCCUACGGGAGGCAGCAGUGGGGAAUUUUGGACAAUGGGGGAAACCCUGAUCCAGCCAUCCCGCGUGUGCGAUGAAGGCCUUCGGGUUGUAAAGCACUUUUGUCAGGGAAGAAAAGGUUUCGGAUAAUACCCGGAACUGAUGACGGUACCUGAAGAAUAAGCACCGGCUAACUACGUGCCAGCAGCCGCGGUAAUACGUAGGGUGCAAGCGUUAAUCGGAAUUACUGGGCGUAAAGCGUGCGCAGGCGGUUCGGAAAGAAAGAUGUGAAAUCCCAGGGCUCAACCUUGGAACUGCAUUUUUAACUACCGAACUAGAGUAUGUCAGAGGGGGGUGGAAUUCCACGUGUAGCAGUGGAAAUGCGUAGAUAUGUGGAGGAACACCGAUGGCGAAGGCAGCCCCCUGGGAUAAUACUGACGCUCAUGCACGAAAGCGUGGGGAGCAAACAGGAUUAGAUACCCUGGUAGUCCACGCCCUAAACGAUGUCAACUAGCUGUUGGGCCCUUCGGGGCUUAGUAGCGCAGCUAACGCGUGAAGUUGACCGCCUGGGGAGUACGGUCGCAAGAUUAAAACUCAAAGGAAUUGACGGGGACCCGCACAAGCGGUGGAUGAUGUGGAUUAAUUCGAUGCAACGCGAAAAACCUUACCUACCCUUGACAUGUCUGGAAU